This is a non-coding RNA of Salmo salar (Atlantic salmon), 55 nucleotides long. NCBI's taxonomy places the organism in Eukaryota, Metazoa, Chordata, Actinopteri, Salmoniformes, Salmonidae. The record is from Rfam.
UGAAUGCACUAACUGUAAGUCGCUCUGGAUAAGAGCGUCUGCUAAAUUACUAAAA